RNAcentral lists this ribosomal RNA (465 nucleotides) under uncultured bacterium. Its description in RNAcentral is "partial 16S ribosomal RNA". It matches the Rfam family "Bacterial small subunit ribosomal RNA", at positions 338 to 795 of the family's 1533-position model. The record is from RNAcentral.
CCUACGGGGGACAGCAGUGGGGAAUAUUGCGCAAUGGGCGAAAGCCUGACGCCGCGACGCCGCGUGAGGGAUGAAGGUCUUCGGAUCGUAAACCUCUGUCAGCAUGGAAGAACGGUCACUGUGCUAAUCAGCAGUGAAUUGACGGUACCUGCAAAGAAAGCACCGGCUAACUCCGUGCCAGCCGCCGCGGUAAUACGGAGGGUGCGAGCGUUCAUCGGAAUUACUGGGGGUAAAGCGCUCGUAGGCGGUAUGUCAAGUCAAGGGUGAAAUCCCCGCGCGCAACGUGGGAACUGCCUUUGAAACUGGCAAACUGGAGUGUGUGAGAGGAUAGUGGAAUUCCAGGUGUAGGAGUGAAAUCCGUAGAUAUCUGGAGGAACAUCAGUGGCGAAGGCGACUAUCUGGCACAUAACUGACGCUGAGGAGCGAAAGCGUGGGUAGCAAACAGGAUUAGAUACCCUAGUAGUC